RNAcentral lists this ribosomal RNA (620 nucleotides) under uncultured bacterium. Its description in RNAcentral is "bacterial SSU rRNA". The stretch from base 1 to 538 matches the Rfam family "Bacterial small subunit ribosomal RNA", at positions 338 to 873 of the family's 1533-position model. The record is from RNAcentral.
CCUACGGGAGGCAGCAGUGGGGAAUAUUGGACAAUGGGCGAAAGCCUGAUCCAGCAAUUCCGCGUGUGUGAAGAAGGCCUUCGGGUUGUAAAGCACUUUAGUGGGGAAGAAACAGCUUGGCCACACCAAGCCUUGACGGUACCCCAAGAAUAAGCACCGGCUAACUCUGUGCCAGCAGCCGCGGUAAUACAGAGGGUGCAAGCGUUAAUCGGAUUUACUGGGCGUAAAGGGUGCGUAGGUGGCUAUUUAAGUCGGAUGUGAAAGCCCGGGGCUCAACCUCGGAAUUGCAUUCGAUACUGAGUGGCUAGAGUUCGGUAGAGGGCGGCGGAAUUUCCGGUGUAGCGGUGAAAUGCGUAGAUAUCGGAAGGAACAUCAAUGGCGAAGGCAGCCGCCUGGGCCUGGACUGACACUGAGGCACGAAAGCGUGGGUAGCAAACAGGAUUAGAUACCCCGGUAGUCCACGCCGUAAACGAUGAGAACUUGACGUUGGUUCGUUUUACGAAUCGGUGUCGCAGCUACGACGAUAGUUACGUCCGUCCGUCGGGUAGGUACGGCCGCGAGUAGUAACGUAAAGUAAGUAGACGCGNGAGACGUCGCGACGACGACGACGAGGGAGGAGG